RNAcentral lists this ribosomal RNA (274 nucleotides) under uncultured bacterium. RNAcentral's name for it is "partial 16S ribosomal RNA". It matches the Rfam family "Bacterial small subunit ribosomal RNA", at positions 523 to 796 of the family's 1533-position model. The record is from RNAcentral.
AUACGGAGGGUGCAAGCGUUACUCGGAAUCACUGGGCGUAAAGCGCGCGCAGGCGGUCUUUUAAGUUGGAUGUGAAAGCCUACGGCUCAACCGUAGAACUGCAUCCAAAACUAUUAGACUAGAGUGUGGGAGAGGAAGAUGGAAUUGGUUGUGUAGGGGUAAAAUCCGUAGAGAUAACUAGGAAUACCAAAAGCGAAGGCAAUCUUCUGGAACACUACUGACGCUGAGGCGCGAAAGCGUGGGGAGCAAACAGGAUUAGAUACCCUAGUAGUCC